CGCAUCUACCGGAUUUGAACCAGCGACCUAAGGAUCACCGCUUAAUUACAUCAACAGUCCUCCGCUCUGCCAACUGAGCUAUC
RNAcentral lists this transfer RNA (83 nucleotides) under Cordylochernes scorpioides. RNAcentral describes it as "tRNA-Asn". Lineage: Eukaryota; Metazoa; Arthropoda; Arachnida; Pseudoscorpiones; Chernetidae. The record is from RNAcentral.